Molecule: ribosomal RNA, 666 nt
Filed under: uncultured beta proteobacterium
Lineage: Bacteria; Pseudomonadati; Pseudomonadota; Betaproteobacteria
Description: bacterial SSU rRNA
Rfam family: Bacterial small subunit ribosomal RNA
Source: RNAcentral
CGCUGGCGGCAUGCUUUACACAUGCAAGUCGAACGGCAGCACGGGUGCUUGCACCUGGUGGCGAGUGGCGGACGGGUGAGUAAUACAUCGGAACGUAUCCUAAAGUGGGGGAUAACGCAUCGAAAGAUGUGCUAAUACCGCAUACACUCUGAGGAGGAAAGUAGGGGAUCGAAAGACCUUAUGCUUUUGGAGCGGCCGAUGUCUGAUUAGCUAGUUGGUAAGGUAAUGGCUUACCAAGGCAACGAUCAGUAGUUGGUCUGAGAGGACGACCAGCCACGCUGGGACUGAGACACGGCCCAGACUCCUACGGGAGGCAGCAGUGGGGAAUUUUGGACAAUGGGCGCAAGCCUGAUCCAGCAAUGCCGCGUGAGUGAAGAAGGCCUUCGGGUUGUAAAGCUCUUUCAGUUGGGAAGAAAAGAUUGUGACUAAUAAUUGCAAUUCAUGACGGUAUCAACAGAAGAAGCACCGGCUAACUACGUGCCAGCAGCCGCGGUAAUACGUAGGGUGCGAGCGUUAAUCGGAAUUACUGGGCGUAAAGGGUGCGCAGGCGGUUCUGUAAGUCAGAUGUGAAAUCCCCGGGCUUAACCUGGGAACUGCGUUUGAAACUACAGAGCUAGAGUGUGGCAGAGGGGGGUGGAAUUCCAUGUGUAGCAGUGAAAUGCGUAG